Molecule: ribosomal RNA, 596 nt
Filed under: uncultured bacterium
Lineage: Bacteria
Description: bacterial SSU rRNA
Rfam family: Bacterial small subunit ribosomal RNA
Source: RNAcentral
AAUAUAUCGGAACGUGCCCAGUUGUGGGGGAUAGCUGCUCGAAAGAGCAGCUAAUACCGCAUACGACCUGAGGGUGAAAGCGGGGGAUCGCAAGACCUCGCGCAAUUGGAGCGGCCGAUAUCAGAUUAGCUAGUUGGCGGGGUAAAAGCCCACCAAGGCGACGAUCUGUAGCUGGUCUGAGAGGACGACCAGCCACACUGGGACUGAGACACGGCCCAGACUCCUACGGGAGGCAGCAGUGGGGAAUUUUGGACAAUGGACGCAAGUCUGAUCCAGCCAUGCCGCGUGCGGGAAGAAGGCCUUCGGGUUGUAAACCGCUUUUGUCAGGGAAGAAACGGGUUUCUCUAAUACAGAAGCCUAAUGACGGUACCUGAAGAAUAAGCACCGGCUAACUUCGUGCCAGCAGCCGCGGUAAUACGAAGGGUGCAAGCGUUAAUCGGAAUUACUGGGCGUAAAGCGCGCGUAGGUGGUUCAGCAAGUUGGAUGUGAAAGCCCUGGGCUCAACCUGGGAACUGCAUCCAAAACUACUGAGCUAGAGUACGGUAGAGGGUAGUGGAAUUUCCUGUGUAGCGGUGAAAUGCGUAGAUAUAGGAAGG